This 3357-nucleotide long non-coding RNA is filed under the name Homo sapiens (human). Its description in RNAcentral is "HSALNT0351080". Lineage: Eukaryota; Metazoa; Chordata; Mammalia; Primates; Hominidae. The record is from RNAcentral.
UCCAAAGUCAGCAGGAGGAAGUAGAAAUGAGACAGAGGCCUCUGUCUCCUAAUCUUUUCCAUAGGCUACUGUUUUCUUUCUUUUCUCAUGAGGAAAAAUGAUAAAAGCAAAAUAAACAAAUUAGCUACCACUUAUGAAAAUCCCCAGGAAAUUCCUUUUCCAGAGUUCUCACUUACUAAUUUGGCUAACAUUACCAAUGGUAACAGACCCCACGUAUCCGCCACAAUUGCUGUGAGUUGCAGAGGAAAAAGACUGGGAGGAAAUCUUCACUUUUCUUCUGCAACAGCAACCAACAGAAAUGAAAGAGCCAGGGGAUUUUGCAAAAUAUCAACUCCUGAGAACUAAGAAUGAGAGCCUUUCCUGCCAAGCCCAUUCUGUGCCAGUCAUCAUAAAAUACUAUGACCCUUCCUUCCAGAAGAACAAUGCGCUGUGAUCUUUGGCUACUCAAGCUUUACAUCAUCCAUAUUACCCUGCAGCAGGAACAGAUUGAUGGGGAUUCUAUAGCACAUCCUUGAAUUGUGUUUAUCCAAUCCACAUUUCUCUUCUGCUGGACAUUCAGAGGACUGUUUCUCACUAAUAUCAGGUAUGCGGGUCUGGCGAUGUUGCCAUCUCAAUGCCCAGCCAGCUGGUAAGGGAGGGUCACAAGACCCAAGAUGGGUAAUUGUAGUUACCCACACACCUAGCUAUGGUGAUUGGUCUAAAAUGAUAGUAAAUUGCUCAAAUCCAGCCAGAGCAUCUUCCCAAAGAUUUUUUUUUAAGAAGCCUUGUUCCAAUGAUGUAUUGGAGCUAAUCAAUGGGCUCUUACUGGUUCAUACAAGCCAACUGCUAAAUUUUCAGGAAUUUUGCAAGCUAGUCAAUAAAAUGCUGGCAGCUUGAAAUCAGCCAUGAUGGGGGUAUUUACAGCACAAAAAUGUCAAAGUGCUACAAGUUGGGAUUUCUCUUUUUUAUUUUAGCUUUUAAUUUCAAAGAACAAAAACAAUAUCUUUUCUUUAUAAUCUUUCCUCCAAGAAUGUAUUCUGUUAUGCUUAACACAUCUUUGUGAGUCACAUUAUGAGGCUUUAAUCACAAUAACGGUAUUAUAGUGAGAUGUGGUAGUGUUAGGAUGGGAAUCAGGAAUGAGGACAUCGUGUUUUUCAGACCUAAGGUCUCACUUCUACAGACAACAUUGAACAUUCAGGUUUCAGAAUCAGAGAGUUGAGUUCAAAUCCUACCUCUGGCUCUCACAAUCUAACAUGGGCAUGUUCCUCAAGCCUAUCUUCAGGAUGGUUUGGUUGUGUGUUAAUAUUUGAUAGAGAGGUAUAAUCUUUCCCUAAAAGUGAAUUUCCUCUCCCCUUACCUCGAAGUGCUUCCCAGAAUUCACAGAAUGUUUUGUCGCAUAUUUUUUAAUUCCAAAAUUCUUGGCAAUAAUUUUCUAGACCGCACUGUAUCUGCUGAUAAGCACCUUGUGUCUGUGUGGCAUUUUUUACUUUUCAAACUAUUUUCCAAUUUCUGCCGCACUAGAUCAGAUUCUUGAAAUGCAGCCUAUAUCUGAGAUAGCAUUCAUCUCAAAGAGAGACAUAGUUUGGUGACUUCUUAAGAAAUUUGAAAGGAUCUGUUCAUUUGUUACCAGCAACACCUUUUGUUGAUAAAGUGCCUUAUGAAGUUUUCAUUGAUUAUGAACUCACCAGUACAUAUGUGAUUAUACACCCCAAAAAGGUGUCAAGCUUUGAGCCUAACUUACCAUACAGCUAUGGAUAGAUAGAUAGAUAGAUAGAUAGAUAGAUAGAUAGAUAGAUAGAUAGAUAGACAGAGGCAUACAUACAUACAUGUGUGCAUAUAAUGACACAUAUAUACAUAAAGGCCCAGAUGCAGAACAAAAUUUUUGCUUUGAGAAAUGCUGUGGUCUAGUUGGUUUGGAAAUUCUGGUACCUUAGCUUAUACACCAGGAGAUGUUGAUGAUUAAUUUUAGUUGUUAACUUGAUUGGAUUAAGGAAUACUCAGAUAGCUGGUAGGGCAUACUUUUGCCAUAUGUCUGUGUGGUUGUUUAUGGAAGAGAUUGGCAUUUGAAUCAGUGGGCUGAGUAAGGAAGAUCUACCCUCAUCCAAGGUAGGUGGACAUCAUCCAAUCAGCUGAGAGCCCAGAUAGAACAAAAAGUCAGAGGAAAGGUGAGCUUGCUCUCUCUCUUCUCUCUCUCUCUCUCUUCUGAAGUUGGAUACCCUCCUUCUCCUUCCUUUGGACAUCAGAACUCCAGGUUCUCCAGUCUUUGGACUCCAGCAUUUGCACAAACACCUGAAGGUUCUCAGGCCUUCCGCCUUGGAAUUGGAGCUACACCACUGGCUUCCCUGGCUCUCCAGCUUGCUGAGGGCAUAUUGUAUAACUCCUCAGCUUACCUAAUUGCAUGAACCCCUAAUAAGUUCUAUCUAGUGCCCUAUUGGUUAUGUCUUUCUGGAGAACCCUAAUACAAAUAUCAUACUUAAAUUUCACUGUUCAUUUCAAUAAAUAUUUAUUGAGCACAUUUCUGUGUUAGAGACAGAGACAUCUGUACUUGAAUCUCUCAAGCAAAUCUCCAUCUUUAAAGAAUGUAACCUGAAUUUUUUGAUCAUUCAAAUCAAAGUAUUCUCAUAAGUAACAUUUAAUGUAACUUGUUAAUUUUCCAAUGAUUCUUACUCUCAGAAAUUGUUUGGUUGCUUCAUGAAAUUAUUACAAUGAAAUAUUUCUUCUAAAAAACUUCCUCAGCUAUUUGUCUCAGUCAGCUAGGGCUGAUAUACCAAAAUACCAUAGACUGGGUGGCUUAAACAAUAGACAUUUAUUUCUCAUAAUUCUGGAGGCAACAUGCCCAAGAUCAGGGUGCCAGUAUGGCCAGGUUCUUAUUGAGGGCUCUCUUCCUCACUUGCUGAUGGUCACCUUUCUGCUGUAUCCUCACAUAGUGGAGAGUGAAAGUUCUGAUGUUUCUCCCUCUUCUUAUAAGGACUGAUGCCAUCAUGGAGGCUUUACCCUUAUGACCACAUCUAAACCUAAUUCCUUUUCAAGAGCCCCACCUCCUAAUACCAUGACACUGGGGAUUAGGGCUUCAACAUAUGGACUUUGGUGGACCACCAACUUCAGUCCCUAACACCACUGCUAUAAGAAUGAAUGUUUGUGUCUCCCCAAAUUCAUAUUUUGCAAUCUAAUCCUUAAUGGUAUAAUAUGAGAAGGUGGGGCCAUUGGGAGAUGAUUAAGUCAUGAAGGCUCUGCCCACAUGAAUGGCAUUAAUGCCCUUAUAAAAGAAACCCCAGAGAGCUAGCUGGCCUUGUCUGUCAUGUAAGCAUGCAGCAAGAAGGUGCCAUGAGCAAGAGAGCAAGCCUUCACCAGACACCAAAUCUGCCAGCAGCUUGAUUG